RNAcentral lists this transfer RNA (71 nucleotides) under Salmo salar (Atlantic salmon). It matches the Rfam family "tRNA". From Rfam's summary of the family: Transfer RNA (tRNA) molecules are approximately 80 nucleotides in length. Their secondary structure includes four short double-helical elements and three loops (D, anti-codon, and T loops). The record is from Rfam by way of RNAcentral. Lineage: Eukaryota; Metazoa; Chordata; Actinopteri; Salmoniformes; Salmonidae.
UCCCGUGUGGCUCAGUUGGUAGAGCAUGGUGUUUGCAACGCCAGGGUUGCGGGUUCGAUUCCCCGGGGGAC